GACGAACGCUGGCGGUGUGCUUAACACAUGCAAGUCGAACGGUAAGGCCCUUUCGGGGGUACACGAGUGGCGAACGGGUGAGUAACACGUGAGUAACCUGCCCUCAUCUCUGGGAUAACAGUCGGAAACGGUUGCUAAUACUGGAUAUGAGCUUGCAAGGCAUCUUGUGGGUUGGAAAGAUUUUUUUGGUUGGGGAUGGACUCGCGGCCUAUCAGCUUGUUGGUGAGGUAGUGGCUCACCAAGGCUUCGACGGGUAGCCGGCCUGAGAGGGCGACCGGCCACAUUGGGACUGAGAUACGGCCCAAACUCCUACGGGAGGCAGCAGUGGGGAAUAUUGCACAAUGGACGGAAGUCUGAUGCAGCAACGCCGCGUGCGGGAUGACGGCCUUCGGGUUGUAAACCGCUUUCAAUUGUGACGAAGCUUUUUUGUGACGGUAGCAGUAGAAGAAGCACCGGCUAACUACGU
RNAcentral lists this ribosomal RNA (466 nucleotides) under uncultured bacterium. Its description in RNAcentral is "partial 16S ribosomal RNA". It matches the Rfam family "Bacterial small subunit ribosomal RNA", at positions 28 to 506 of the family's 1533-position model. The record is from RNAcentral.